UACUGGGACAGACUGGGGGGCUACUGGUCUGUACUGGGAGGUACUGGGGGAGGUCACUGGGGGAGAUUGUUACUGGUUUAUACUGGUGCGGAUUGGUGUGAACUGGUCCAUACUGGUCCAUACUGGUCCGUACUGGUUUGUACUGGUUUGUACUGGUCCGUACUGGUCCAUACUGGUCCAUACUGGUCCGUACUGGUCCGUACUGGUCUAUACUGGUUUAUACUGGUCCAUACUGGUCCGUACUGGUUUAUACUGGUCCAUACUGGUUCAUACUGGUGCCGUUCCCAGCAGGGCCGGGCGUGGAGAUCUCGGAUUUCCAGAGGGUUCGUUUCCGUAAGAGCUCCCCUUCCCCACACUGACCCAAAAUCCCCCAAAUUCACCCCAAAAAUCUCCAAAAUCCCCCAAAAGCCCCAAAAGCCCCAAAUUCACCCCAAAAAAAUCCCCCAAAUCACCCAAAACCACCUCAAACCCCCCCAGAAUCACCCUCAAAGCAGCUCCGGGACCCCAAAAAUCCCCAAAUUCACCCCAAAAAUCCCAAAAUUAACCCCAAAAAUCCCAAAAUUCACCCCAAAAAUCCCCAAAUUCACCUCAAAAAUCCCAAAAUUAACCCCAAAAAUCCCAAAAUUCACCCCAAAAAUCCCCAAAUUCACCCCAAAAAUCUCCCAAAUUCACCCCAAAAAUCCCCAAAUUCACCGCCAAAGUCCCCAAAAACCCCCCCAAAGAAAACCACCUCAAAAACCCCAAAAUCACCCUCCGAGCAGCUUUGGGACCCUGAAAACCCCAAAAACCCCGAAAUUCACCCCAAAAAUCCCCAAAUCCCCCAAAACACCUCAAAAACCCCAAAUUCACCCCCAAAAUCCUCAAAUUCUCCAAAAAGCACCUCAAAAACCCCAAAAUCACCCUAAGAGCAGCUCUGGGACCCCCAAAACCCCAAAAAUCCCCAAAAUGGCCCCAAAAUCACCCCCGGGACCCCAAAAUGACCCCCGGGAGCCCCAAAAAAACCCAAAUUAG
RNAcentral lists this long non-coding RNA (1011 nucleotides) under Camarhynchus parvulus. Its description in RNAcentral is "lncRNA (ENSCPVG00000017726.1)". Lineage: Eukaryota; Metazoa; Chordata; Aves; Passeriformes; Thraupidae. The record is from RNAcentral.